GACGAACCGUGCGAACGUUAUUCGGAAUCACUGGGCUUAAAGCGCGUGUAGGCGGGACGGCACGUCGGUCGCUGAAAGCCCCCGGCUCAACCGGGGAACGGGCGCCGAUACGACCGGCCUGGAGGGACGUAGGGGGACCUGGAACUUCCGGUGGAGCGGUGAAAUGCGUUGAGAUCGGAAGGAACGCCCGUGGCGAAGGCGGCUCUCUGGGACGGUACUGACGCUGAGACGCGAAAGCGUGGGGAGCGAACAGG
This 254-nucleotide ribosomal RNA is filed under the name uncultured bacterium. RNAcentral's name for it is "partial 16S ribosomal RNA". It matches the Rfam family "Bacterial small subunit ribosomal RNA", at positions 524 to 776 of the family's 1533-position model. The record is from RNAcentral.